This 200-nucleotide unclassified non-coding RNA is filed under the name soil metagenome. RNAcentral's name for it is "partial contains internal transcribed spacer 2 and large subunit ribosomal RNA". The record is from RNAcentral.
CAUGCCUGUUCGAGCGUCAUUUCAACCCUCAGGACCUCCUGGUGUUGGGGCGUUAGGGAAACCUAAGCCUCAAAGUCAGUGGCGGGCUCUGUCACACACCGAGCGUAGUAAUCUCUCGCUUAGGGGUGUGUCGGGGCGCGGCCUACUUAUACUUUUAUCAAGUUGACCUCGGAUCAGGUAGGAAUACCCGCUGAACUUAA